This 1473-nucleotide long non-coding RNA is filed under the name Sorghum bicolor (sorghum). Its description in RNAcentral is "long non-coding RNA (SBIC_LNC002686)". The record is from RNAcentral. Lineage: Eukaryota; Viridiplantae; Streptophyta; Magnoliopsida; Poales; Poaceae.
GGGACAUUCCUAUACUUGUUGGAAAGCUCAUGAAGUCUACUUUCCAAUGGGUCCAACCACAUAUCUAUGCAGCUUAUGAGUCGGGCGCAGUCCUUGUUUUCGUGCCGACACCUUUUUCUGUUUUGGUGCUGCGUCACCCUAUUUUGGACCAAUGGCCCAUGUAUCAAGUUGAGUCCUUUAGGGACGCGUUCUAGGGUUGGAGGACGACUCUAGCACCCCUUUGGUCGUCCUCCCCUCUAUUUAUUUACAUCUAGAGCCGCCAUGAACAACUGGGUUUUGUUUAGAUCAAGUUUAGCCUUCGCUACUUGCUUGUAGGCGUGCGUGCAGGAUCAGCCGCCGGUCUCCUUGUCUUCGGAACCCCAUUGUUGAUUCAGAUUCAGUUUGAAACCUUCAAUUCAUCUUGCAAAUUUCAGUGCUUGAUUCCUCGUUCUUGCUAGUUCUUCGAUUGCUUGCAGGACGGGAGCCCUAGGGGCUGGUUGUCGCGCUCCACAAGAUCGUGACGGCUGUUGGACGUGGUGUGUCGGUUGCUAAGGCGCGGUCUUGAGGGCUGUAGUCGGGCCGUGAACGUCAUCUCCAUCCACCAAUCGAGUUAUCCCCGUCUCUCAUCAAAAGAUCAGGCCAAAAACCCUAGCGGGUUCGCAUCAGUUGGUAUCAGAGCAAGGUUCUUCGGUGAGAGACUUCUAAUCCUUUGCUGUUUUUAAUUAAUUUCCUAUAGUCCAGAAAAGCCAAAAAAAAUAUAGUAGAAUUUGCGUUGCUUCUAGUACCGUUUUAGUUAGGGAUUGUUGAAUUUGCAUUGGUUCGGUUUGUGUCGAGUUGCUGGUCUUAGUGUCUAGUCCUUUAGAGUUUCGAGUUCUUGUCACCAUCUAUACACAGCUGAGUAUUACCAUAUCUUCUCUCUGUCGAAUCUGUUGUGAAGUCCGAAUUGAACUGUGAUCCAAAAAGAAAGAUAACUCCAUACUUGUUCAACCUUACUCUAGAGAGAGAGAGAGUGUGUGUGUGUGUAGCGAAUUGCUCUUUUGUAUUCCUUUGUUCAUAUAAUCAGUUUUUGAGGUUGCCCAAAAAAAGAAAAAAAAGAAAAAAAGAAAAGAGAAAAGAUUCAAAAGAAAAAAAAGGGGUUGUUUUUCAUAUUGAUUUUAGGUUUCUUCCACCUUGUUUUCGGGGGUGUGCUGUGGUUUUCCUUUGUGGCCAGGCUCGCGUCUCUAGCGCGGUCUAGCCUAGGACCAGCACAGUACCAUCGUCGAACGCUUAUUCAGCUCGCUUUUAUAACUAACGUGGUGCUAGUUCGUUCCUUGUUUCAGCCCACCUAUAGCUCCACAUACUCUACAGCUUGACAGGUCUUGUGCUGCAGCACCGAUACACUUCGUCCAUCGCUGUACACUUGUUGGCAGACGACCCCUCCUGUCAAGCAAGGUAAGAAUUGGUAAGAACUUGUGUUACAGGUUGAGUGUGAGCGACUUGCUGUAGCUACAUCCU